AGAGUUUGAUCAUGGCUCAGGACGAACGCUGACGGUGUGCUUUAGACAUGCAAGUCGAACGAGAAAGCCCUUCGGGGUGAGUACAGUGGCGAACGGGUGAGUAACACGUGGGUAACCUGCCCCUCGCAGGGGGACAACCGGGGGAAACCCCGGCUAAUACCCCAUACGCUCUGAGGUCCGCAUGGUCCUCGGAGGAAAGGUAGCUUCGGCCAUCCGACGAGGGAAGGGCCCGCGGUCCAUUAGCUAGUUGGUGGGGUAACGGCUCACCAAGGCGACGAUGGAUAGCUGGUCUGAGAGGAUGAUCAGCCACACUGGGACUGAGACACGGCCCAGACUCCUACGGGAGGCAGCAGUCGGGAAUCUUGCGCAAUGGGCGAAAGCCUGACGCAGCAACACCGUGUGGGCGAUGAAGGCCUUCGGGUCGUAAAGCCCUGUUGUUGGGGACGAAGGGCGAAGGGUUAAUAGCCCCUAGCCUGACGGUACCCUUCGAGGAAGCCCCGGCUAACUACGUGCCAGCAGCCGCGGUAAUACGUAGGGGGCGAGCGUUGUCCGGAAUUAUUGGGCGUAAAGAGCGUGUAGGCGGUUUGGUAAGUCUGCCGUGAAAACCCGGGGCUCAACCCUGGGCGUGCGGUGGAUACUGCCAGGCUAGAGGGUGGUAGAGGCGAGUGGAAUUCCCGGUGUAGCGGUGAAAUGCGCAGAUAUCGGGAGGAACACCAGUAGCGAAGGCGGCUCGCUGGGCCAUUCCUGACGCUGAGACGCGAAAGCUAGGGGAGCGAACAGGAUUAGAUACCCCCGUAGUCC
This 801-nucleotide ribosomal RNA is filed under the name uncultured Rubrobacter sp. RNAcentral's name for it is "bacterial SSU rRNA". It matches the Rfam family "Bacterial small subunit ribosomal RNA", at positions 8 to 796 of the family's 1533-position model. Lineage: Bacteria; Bacillati; Actinomycetota; Rubrobacteria; Rubrobacterales; Rubrobacteraceae. The record is from RNAcentral.